Molecule: long non-coding RNA, 3367 nt
Organism: Megalobrama amblycephala (Wuchang bream)
Lineage: Eukaryota; Metazoa; Chordata; Actinopteri; Cypriniformes; Xenocyprididae
Exons: 3
Source: RefSeq, a predicted model, not a curated record
AAGAAAACAUUUAAACUAGAAGAAAACAUUUGACCCUGAUAAAAAGGCCUAUAUUAACUACAAAAGUUGCAAUGAGAUGAACAUAUACCUCAACACACCACAAAUCUUAAACAUGGUGAUGAGAUCAACAAAUGUUAAUUCAGUAAAAAUAUGAACUCUGAACCUAAAUAACAGUGACAACAACAGCAGUAUAAAUUUAGCCAGUAAAAAAUGCAAAUCAAUGAUCUUUAUAUUCAAGCUGCAAUGGAUGCUGGGAACAGACACAACAUCGUUCAACAUAAAAUUGUUUGAACUGUAGGCUACGAUAUGACACCAUGUCUACUACACCGGAUGGGAGUAGCGCGACAAACCCAUUAUAAUCAGGGAUGUUGUCUACACUGGAAGCGGCGCAGUGUUGCCAAGUCCGCGGUUUUCCAGAGGAAUUGGGCUACUUUUACCCUGUUGCCGCUGGUGGUUUUUCAUGUCCGCGGGUUGAAUCGACCCAAAAUAACGUGAUAUUAUAGCCCCCGGAACGCGAAUUGUACCAGGGAAGCCCACUGAAAUGCGAUUGGGCUAGUUUUGAGGGCGGUUUUUGUUGUGAAAACCUGGCAACCCUGAAGCGGCGCGACUUGGGCGACAAAUCUCCGACAGUAAACUCGUUCUAUUUAUGACGUUGGCCUGCUGACACGGAGGACACAUGUUUUAGCUCUUGCGACGCGAGCGACAACGGUCGCGUCCGGUGUAGACACGGUAACGGCUCGAGCGAACACGACAGCACCUUGACCUCUAGAAAUAUGCGCGUACGGAGCCGUUAUAUCGUACAAUUCAAAUAUAAACAUCAAGAUACCCACUAGUCGCUGACGUUUUCCAACGGCUCUGGCUGAAGUUAAAGGACAGCACACAGUUUUGUACACAAUUUGUUUUUGCGUUUCUGUAACUCUCACUAAAGAGGAUGUUAUUGAAAGGAAAUAUGAAUAAGAUGGAUUUGUUUAUUGACAACUAGAAAAUGGAGAAGAAGCAGAGAUGUUGUAGUGCACUGCUGAACUACGACAGAAGAGUUCUCUGCUGUUUUACAUAUUCCUCAACAGAGGUGUGUGCAUGGCAAUCAGCUCACUAGGGUUAGAGGUCAUCUCCCUGGAGAAGUGCAGGGUUUUGGAUACCAUGGUGACCAGGUUACUGCCACCCAUGUCACUGCUUUCUCGCUCUCUCUCUCUCUGACUAUGAAUCUCUUCCUGUUUCUCCCAUUCAUCUCCCAUCACCUUUGUCUUUUGCUUGUGGAAAUUUAGCUUGGCCUAGAGAAACAUGGUUAGGAAAAUUAGUAAAAAUAAACAAACAAAAAAAUCCCCUAACCCUGUGUAUCAAAUGUCUUUUUGUGGAUAGUUUAAGGUUUAGGCAAAAAAAGAUCAGUGGUGUAGUGAGUAGUGUAGCUCACACAGAAGUCACUUUCAAACCAAGCAGCUUUCUUGAACUUGUAGAAUUCGUAGGCUAAAUUCCUGGUCUCAUGGAUUCCUAUUUAAAUGACUUUAUUUUACCCGUGAAAAUUUGUCAAACAACUGUAAAUGUGCCCACACCUUUACACUGUGUCAUAACUAGACGCCAUGCAGCAAAGCGACAAGCAAUAAGAGUUAUUUCUAAGUAGUUUCAUUUUUUUUUUCUAACCACCUGCAACAAUCGAUAGGACUUUUGUCGUUCUUGCGGGAGCACAAACGUUUUUGUGGGGGAACGCAGUUUCUCGGAGGAACGCAAAUAUUUGCGAGAAAGCAAAAGCAUGUUCCUCCCAUGAUCUAAUUUUUUUCAACCACCAUGUCCUCUUAAGGGUCUAAAAUCACAUUCCAUUUUAACAUAAAGUAUUAGAUAUGUUUUAUUUGGUUGUUAUUGUGUUACUGGAAACUUAAAAACACACAUGGUUUGGACAAAGUGAGGAGAGCUAUCUAUUUUUGAAAACUUAGUCAACAUAAAAUAAAAAUUCACCCUUUUUCUAAAUGGAUGUUAUUGGUCUUACUGUGAACAAUUCAUCCUUGUAUACAUACUACUAAUUUUUAUUUAAAAUGUCAUCUUAAAAUAUGUAAAAUACUUAAAAUGUCAUAACGUAAAAUACUCUGAAUAUUAAUAUGAGACUGAUAGUAAUUUAACAAUAUAGAAUAUUCAGAGUAUCUUCAGAUUAGCCGAUAGUGAUGACUUUAUUGUUAUAUUUGGGUACUGAAUUGCGAUUUGGUCUUUCUUAUGUCUCUUUUAAUACUGAAUUUUUGAUUAGCAUUGCCCUUUUUUAUAUAUUUAAGUUUCAAUUUGACUUUACACUGUGCAGUGACUGCUUGUCUUGAUUCUUCUGUGCAGGUGACCGAAAACAAGACAGGCAAUAUUUCCAUAACUAAAGCUAAAACUUAAAGGCAUCUUUAACACAUUUAUAUUGCUGCUUUGCAAAGCUCUGUUAUUUCUUUCAAGAUGUGCAUAUCUAUAUUUUUUUCUCUUCCAUGGUUCACUUAGUGCAUAUUACCAUGCUAAAUUCCUCUGUUCAGCUCUGUGCAGGUGUAUGGUACAUGCUAGUAUAGAGAUUGUGUGGGUGUGUGUGUUUGUUGCAUCAGUGAGAUGAUGUUUGUAACCUUGUUUUAUACAUGUCUUAGACAGAAAUUUCAGACCAGACGACUUUUUUUUUAACUUUAGAUAGACAUUAGACAUUAGACAAAAUAGACAUUUUGUGUCUAUGUGUGUGUGUGAACUCCAUGAAAGCGCGAAAGCAUUGAGUUCAGCAACCAGAUAUUUUUAUCCCUGUCUCGAGACCUCUCUCUUCCUUCGCAUUUCUCCUCUCUUCCUCGGGCCUGUCCUCAACCCUCCCCUACCCCACUCUGAUAUGUGUUUAUCUACGUAUUUGUGUGUAUGUCGUGAGUGACAGCAAGAGAGUGACAAUAAGAGUGAGUGAUGAUUGAAUUCAUCAGUUGGAGCAGUUGUUUCCAGCAUAGCAUUUUGUUUGGAAAAGCCCACCUUCCGAAUCGUUCUCAUUAAGACAUGAUUAUUCUCAUCAGCUGGACCUCUUAAAAGCUGACCACUCAAACGCUUUCAUAAGCUACAUUUAUAAUCGGGUUGAUGGCUCAAGUACACUGAAAAGCAUUUAUAUAUACACCACAGUUGAUCUGGAUUGAGCUUGAUCCAAAUGAAAUUUCGAUCAGAUUGAAAAGGGUGUUGUAAACCUGAAAUAAUUUAAUCAGCAGGAAAAAAUUAAGCAUGUAAAUGCUUGAAUCAGACUAUUUUCUCAAUCGGAUUCAAAAAUGCUGUGAUGUGUAUGUUUACAUAUUUUACUUCUUACAAAUGUGCUUGUGUUUAUUUUUGUCUUAUAAUCUGGUCAGUGGAGGAGACUGAAUGUUUACUAAAUAUUUGAUAAAAUGCUCUUCUU